Molecule: transfer RNA, 71 nt
Filed under: Gobulus birdsongi (fin-joined goby)
Lineage: Eukaryota; Metazoa; Chordata; Actinopteri; Gobiiformes; Gobiidae
Description: tRNA-Val
Rfam family: tRNA
About the family: Transfer RNA (tRNA) molecules are approximately 80 nucleotides in length. Their secondary structure includes four short double-helical elements and three loops (D, anti-codon, and T loops).
Source: RNAcentral
CAGAGCGUAGCUAAACAGCAUAGCAUCUCCCUUACACCGAGAAGGCACCCGUGCAAACCGGGUCGCACUGA